RNAcentral lists this microRNA precursor (103 nucleotides) under Marmota monax (woodchuck). Lineage: Eukaryota; Metazoa; Chordata; Mammalia; Rodentia; Sciuridae. The record is from RNAcentral.
AGUGGAAUAAAUGGGUCAAAUGGUGUUUACACUCUAGUUUUUCUGAGGAAUCUCCAUACUCUUUCCCAUAGUGAUUGCACCAAUUUGCAGUCCCACCAUCAAU